This 1502-nucleotide ribosomal RNA is filed under the name uncultured bacterium. RNAcentral describes it as "bacterial SSU rRNA". It matches the Rfam family "Bacterial small subunit ribosomal RNA". The record is from RNAcentral.
GAGUUUGAUCAUGGCUCAGAUUGAACGCUGGCGGCAGGCUUAACACAUGCAAGUCGAGCGGAGAGAGGUAGCUUGCUACUGAUCUUAGCGGCGGACGGGUGAGUAAUGCUUAGGAAUCUGCCUAUUAGUGGGGGACAACACUUCGAAAGGAAUGCUAAUACCGCAUACGUCCUACGGGAGAAAGCAGGGGAUCUUCGGACCUUGCGCUAAUAGAUGAGCCUAAGUCGGAUUAGCUAGUUGGUGGGGUAAAGGCCUACCAAGGCGACGAUCUGUAGCGGGUCUGAGAGGAUGAUCCGCCACACUGGGACUGAGACACGGCCCAGACUCCUACGGGAGGCAGCAGUGGGGAAUAUUGGACAAUGGGCGCAAGCCUGAUCCAGCCAUGCCGCGUGUGUGAAGAAGGCCUUAUGGUUGUAAAGCACUUUAAGCGAGGAGGAGGCUACUUUAGUUAAUACCUAGAGAUAGUGGACGUUACUCGCAGAAUAAGCACCGGCUAACUCUGUGCCAGCAGCCGCGGUAAUACAGAGGGUGCAAGCGUUAAUCGGAUUUACUGGGCGUAAAGCGCGCGUAGGCGGCUAAUUAAGUCAAAUGUGAAAUCCCCGAGCUUAACUUGGGAAUUGCAUUCGAUACUGGUUAGCUAGAGUGUGGGAGAGGAUGGUAGAAUUUCCAGGUGUAGCGGUGAAAUGCGUAGAGAUCUGGAGGAAUACCGAUGGCGAAGGCAGCCAUCUGGCCUAACACUGACGCUGAGGUGCGAAAGCAUGGGGAGCAAACAGGAUUAGAUACCCUGGUAGUCCAUGCCGUAAACGAUGUCUACUAGCCGUUGGGGCCUUUGAGGCUUUAGUGGCGCAGCUAACGCGAUAAGUAGACCGCCUGGGGAGUACGGUCGCAAGACUAAAACUCAAAUGAAUUGACGGGGGCCCGCACAAGCGGUGGAGCAUGUGGUCUAAUUCGAUGCAACGCGAAGAACCUUACCUGGCCUUGACAUAGUAAGAACUUUCCAGAGAUGGAUUGGUGCCUUCGGGAACUUACAUACAGGUGCUGCAUGGCUGUCGUCAGCUCGUGUCGUGAGAUGUUGGGUUAAGUCCCGCAACGAGCGCAACCCUUUUCCUUAUUUGCCAGCGAGUAAUGUCGGGAACUUUAAGGAUACUGCCAGUGACAAACUGGAGGAAGGCGGGGACGACGUCAAGUCAUCAUGGCCCUUACGGCCAGGGCUACACACGUGCUACAAUGGUCGGUACAAAGGGUUGCUACCUAGCGAUAGGAUGCUAAUCUCAAAAAGCCGAUCGUAGUCCGGAUUGGAGUCUGCAACUCGACUCCAUGAAGUCGGAAUCGCUAGUAAUCGCGGAUCAGAAUGCCGCGGUGAAUACGUUCCCGGGCCUUGUACACACCGCCCGUCACACCAUGGGAGUUUGUUGCACCAGAAGUAGCUAGCCUAACUGCAAAGAGGGCGGUUACCACGGUGUGGCCGAUGACUGGGGUGAAGUCGUAACAAGGUAGCCGUA